This 465-nucleotide ribosomal RNA is filed under the name uncultured bacterium. Its description in RNAcentral is "partial 16S ribosomal RNA". It matches the Rfam family "Bacterial small subunit ribosomal RNA", at positions 28 to 507 of the family's 1533-position model. The record is from RNAcentral.
GACGAACGCUGGCGGCGUGCUUAACACAUGCAAGUCGUACGGUAAGGCCCUUUCGGGGGUACACGAGUGGCGAACGGGUGAGUAAAACGUGAGUAACCUGCCCACAACUUUGGGAUAACGCUAGGAAACUGGAGCUAAUACUGGAUAUGUGAUCCUGCUGCAUGGUGGGGGUUGGAAAGCUCCGGCGGUUGUGGAUGGACUCGCGGGCUAUCAGCUUGUUGGUGGGGUAGUGGCGUACCAAGGCGGCGACGGGUAGCCGGCCUGUGAGGGUGACCGGCGAGCUUGGGACUUAGAUACGGCCCAGGCUCCGACGCGUGGCAGCUGUGGGAAAUAUUGCACAAUGGACGCAAGCCGGAUGCAGCAACGCCGCGUGCGGUAUGACUGCCUUCGGGUUGUAAACCGCUUUCAUCAGGGACUAAGCUUUUUUUGACGGUACCUACAGAAGAAGCACCGGCUAACUACGUG